This 430-nucleotide ribosomal RNA is filed under the name uncultured bacterium. Its description in RNAcentral is "partial 16S ribosomal RNA". It matches the Rfam family "Bacterial small subunit ribosomal RNA", at positions 338 to 795 of the family's 1533-position model. The record is from RNAcentral.
CCUACGGGGGGCUGCAGUGGGGAAUAUUGGACAAUGGGCGCAAGCCUGAUCCAGCCAUGCCGCGUGAGUGACGAAGGCCUUAGGGUUGUAAAGCUCUUUUGGCGGGGACGCGGUACCCGCAGAAUAAGCCCCGGCUAACUUCGUGCCAGCAGCCGCGGUAAUACGAAGGGGGCUAGCGUUGUUCGGAAUUACUGGGCGUAAAGCGCACGUAGGCGGAUUUGUAAGUCAGGGGUGAAAUCCCGGGGCUCAACCUCGGAACUGCCUUUGAUACUGCAAGUCUCGAGUCCGAUAGAGGUGAGUGGAAUUCCUAGUGUAGAGGUGAAAUUCGUAGAUAUUAGGAAGAACACCAGUGGCGAAGGCGGCUCACUGGAUCGGACUGACGCUGAGGUGCGAAGCGUGGGGAGCAACAGGAUUAGAUACCCUUGUAGUC